GGGUGUGGUGAAAUAGCUUAUCUUGAUCACACAGAAAUCAAGCAGACGGUCAGGCGGUUACAUCUCUACUGACUGGACUGAAAGCACUCAUCAACUGCAAGCAGCUUCCUGGUUCAGGGUGGGACUCUGUGUCCACUUCUCUCUUCAGUGAUGCGGUUUUGCCUGGUUUGAACCUGUGCAGUUCUUGCGCUUGUGCAGUCUCUGUGGGUUCAUGUGUGGCUCAGGCCUGCUGUGUCUGGAAGCCACUGAGGACAACACGGAGCCACUCUUGGCCACUGGAGUGCUGCACCUGCUGCAAACGUUCUCUUGCCUGGACAUAUCUUCAUGACUGACCUUCCCACAGACUGCACCUCUCCAUGGAUUCACUCUGAGCUGCUUAGAGCGUGUUCCUGAAUGUUUCUGUGCAUUGCCAUGACAGCAGUUAUGAGUUUUAAAAAGUAUUGGGGCUGGACAGAUGGCUGAGUGACUGUGAGUUCUUGUUGCUUCUGCUGAAAGUCUGGGCUCAAGUCAGCACUCACAUGGUGAUUUAUAAGCCACCUGUAGCUUCAGUGCCAAGCUCAUGCCCUCUUCUGUCUUCUGCAGGCUUCUGCAUACAUGUGGUGCACACACAUACACCCAGGCACACACAUACAAAAUAAAGUCAAUGAAUUUAAACAAUCCUCAAAAAAAAAAAAAAAAAAAACACACACACAACAAAACAAAAGGAUGUGUAAGAUGGAUCUAACAAAAUUGACAAAGGAAAAUAUUAUGGAAAAUCAAAAGGAGAAAAGUUAUUUGAUGCCUAUUUAAAUACAGAUAUUUGUCUUUCUGAGCAGAGACCAUGAAGAAAAUGCCAUAUACAGACUUUCAACUUCAGUGCCUCAUAUCUUUUCAAAGCAAGAUCACACACACAUAGGCUAAGAGCCAUAUUCUCUGAGCCUGCUAACUGUUAAUAUUAAAAGUUGUAAAUGAAAAGAUGAUGUAAUUCUAUUAUUAUAAUCUAAAAAACAAAAAUAAAUUGAAAAAAUCUCAAAGGAGUGGAUAUAAGAAUUACUUUUUACCAUGAGGUUAAGGAGUCCUUGGUUCUUAUAGCCCCAAAAUUGGAUACCAAAAACUUAAGAUAUAUUUGGGUCAUUCACAUAGCCUCACCACAACAAGUAAAGACAAAUGACAACAUGGGACAUUUACCUUUACAAUACAGAAUCUAGGCUUACUCCACCUAAGAUAUAAAUAGUGUCUGAGAAGAAGAAGAAGAAGAAGAAGAAGAAGAAGAAGAAGAAGAAGAAGAAGAAGAAGAAGAAGAAGAAGAAGAAGAAGCCUAGUGACAGAAUAAGCCAAGAGUGAAUAUGCUGAAAAGAGAGACAUAAAUAUUAAAUAAAUGAUUGUAUUUUAACAUCAUUAAAUGAAAUACAAAUUAAAUGGCCUCAAGUCCCCAUCUAUCAAGCUGGCAGAAAUGCAAGGGGGGGGCUAUGAGGGAAAGCCAGAGCCUUUGUGUAGUGUGUCAUGUAGCAGUGUGCAAGGCAGGCAAAGGGACAGCAGCUAUCAAAGCCUCAGCUCAGAGAUUGCACUGUGGAGAGUCCCUGUGGUGACACUGCACAAGCAGGAAGCAAUGAUGGGUGACUUCAUUCAUGAAACAUCUCUGUAAUAGCAAAGGAAGCACGAGCCUGAACACACAUUGGAAGAAGAGUAGACACAGCCACACAGGAGUCACUGAGGGUGGAGACUCUGAGGACACACACCAGGGAACCCAGCACCUGGAGAUGGAGGCAUGAGGAGGCAGCGGUAUAGUCAGGCCAGCCUGGGCAGCAUGAGACAGGCAGGCAGGCAGGCAGGACCUGAGCCAUCUUGACAGAUGAGGGAUUUCUUCAGUGACAUGAGCAGACCCAUAAGAAAUCAUACAGAAAAACCGGAAAUAGUGAA
Meriones unguiculatus (Mongolian gerbil) is the source of this 1899-nucleotide long non-coding RNA. RefSeq lists it as uncharacterized. The record is from RefSeq and is a predicted model, not a curated record. The transcript is spliced from 3 exons. NCBI's taxonomy places the organism in Eukaryota, Metazoa, Chordata, Mammalia, Rodentia, Muridae.